GUCAUCCUUUUUGUGCUCUCCUGUGUUGGUCUAUUUUGGGAUUCUGUGUACAAUAUCUUUUUUUUCUGUAUGAGAGUUAACUGCAGUUUGUCAGGUUACUGGUUGACGAUGCUCUUGUUCAUGUUACCAAGGAUGAUGUAGGGAGUAGUUGUUUACGCAUGUUGGGUUUGGGUGGCUAAUGCUCAGCCCCUAUGGUGUGUGUAUGUGCGUGUGUGUAUUAGGUUUGGGUGGCUAAUGCCCAGCCCGUAUGGUGUGUGUAUGUGCGUGUGUGUAAUACUGAAAAAUUCUAUAUUGUUUGCAUUUACUAUUCAUUUGGAUGUAUGUAAGCUUGGGAACAUAAUUGAAUAUUUG
RNAcentral lists this long non-coding RNA (351 nucleotides) under Triticum aestivum (bread wheat). RNAcentral's name for it is "long non-coding RNA (TAES_LNC005961)". The record is from RNAcentral. Lineage: Eukaryota; Viridiplantae; Streptophyta; Magnoliopsida; Poales; Poaceae.